CGAAAACUGAACCUGGCGCCAAAUGAAAGCUCUCAGUCUCUGCAACUCCAGAAUUCAAAGUUUCUUUUCUCCAUUUCUUUCCUCAAAUAAAGAUAUUUAUAUUUAAGGUCAGUAAAAUCGAGGGAAAAAAAUCAAUGGAGAAUUCGAAAAUUUUCAGCGUCCGAAUUGUGUCGAUCGAUUACUACAUGGCACCGCCGAUACCUAACUUCGAUAUUUGUUACAGUAGCUUUCAAGGUGGGAAGGUCAACGAGGUUCCUGUUAUAAGGGCUUAUGGCUCAACACCUGCUGGUCAGAAGACUUGCUUGCAUGUUCAUAGGGCUUUUCCAUAUUUGUAUGUCCCCUGUUCAGAUAUACCACUUCAUCCAGAUCAAGAAGGAGAUUCCUACACAAAUGCAAUUUCUCUUGCCCUUGAGAAAGCCUUAAAGCUUAAAGGUAAUGCUGGUUCAAAAAGACAACAUGUGCAUGGCUGCAGUCUUGUGCGAGCAAGGAAAUUUUACGGAUACCACUCAUCAGAAGAGUUGUUUGUCAAGAUAUACCUCUAUAAUCCUCAUGAUGUCUCUCGUGCUGCCAAACUUCUUCUGGGAGGGGCAGUUCUUGAUAAAAGCUUGCAGCCUUAUGAAUCUCAUAUUCCUUUCAUUCUCCAAUUUCUGAUUGACUACAACUUGUAUGGAAUGGGUCAUGUGCAUUUAUCAAAAAUGAAGUUCCGUCAUCCAGUACCUGAUGUUUGUACACUCAGAAAAUUUAUCAGGAAUUGGCAACAUGGACUAGAGAUGGAAAAUUUCACUUGCAUGUCUACUGAUUUUCAGGUUUGAGUGGUGAUGAGUCUUUGGAUUCUCCAGUUUGGAUAUCUUCUACCAUUCCAGGUGAUUGGAUGUGGCAGUUUUCUAGUGAAUUUGAGGUGUCAUCGGAGCAAGGCAUUUACCACAUUAAACGCCAAAGCAUUUGUGAACUUGAGGGAGAUACUACUAUAGAUGAGAUUCUCAAUCAGCAAUUUAAAACAUAUACAUCCCUCUCACAAACUUGUUCAGAUAUGAAAAUGGUGCAAUCACUUAUACCCAUUUGGGAGGAAGAGUGUGAAAGGAGUGGGUUGCAUGAGAUAGCUAAACCACCUGAUCCUGGAAAACCACUUGCUGAGGAUGUUUUGAAAACACUGUUACAUGAUCUUGAGUUUGAGAGAAAACUUAAAGAGUUUUAUGGUAAAUCUGAAGGCCUACCUUCAUUUGGGAACAUUGUAAAAUUUCAGCAGUCAUCAAUGUCUACUGAUGAAGAAAAUUUGGCUGAACAUGAAAAAAUAAGUUCUGAUAAUGCCAAUGAACAAUCUUUAAAGUGUUCCACAGAAAGAGACACUAUUGGUUCUUCAUCACUAUUGGGUUCUCCAUUUGAAGAUCAGUUGGACACGACUCCUGUGGAAAGGAAAGAUGCAUGCCCAGAAUUAUUGUCUGUCAGUGACCUACAAUCUUCUGAAACAAUUGGAACAUUGGAUGCAAAGACUGCAGAUGCUGAAGCUUUGAGCCUUCUAAAGUGGCUUGUCACUUCUCAGGCUGCUGAAGAUAUAAACUCUGAUGAUGAACUUAUUCAUGAGACAAUUCUAAGUCCACUUUUGCCUGCAACAACAAUUGAUCAGGUGCUGGAGAAAGCGAAUAUGGAUUAUGAGAGUGAGUCGCAAAAAGAGUGUCAGGACAUUCUUGAUUCGAUUGAGGAUUUAGAUGACAUGGAGGGUUUCAAGGAGAGAACUUUUCAUUCUAUCGGUUGCAGGAAUCAUAAUCAAACUUUGUCAGAGAUUCCUCAUGCAGAUGGUUUGGUCUCAUCCUCUUCCAGAUCUUCUGGAAAUUUAUCAAAGAUAGGGAUGAAAGAGGAUUCCAAAAGUUAUUUUCAAGACCAGGUAUUGCAGACAACUGGCACACAUUUCACUAGUAAGCGCAAAAGGAAGAAGUCAUUAUGGGGCUUUUUACCUUUCUCCAUGACCCAAAAGAGGAAUGAUGACUUAGAAGCUGUUGGGUCCAAUACAGCUGAUGCCUGUAUUGGUCAAGAUAAAAAUUGUGACACUAUGUCCAUCAUCAGAAAUGAGGGGGAAAAACAUUCUGAUGUUCUAUUGAAAACUUUGGAUGCAGAUGUUUGUGAAGUAGGUGACUUAGUUGGAUGCUCAGUUCGAGACUUAAUGAGAAGAAAGAGAUGCCACCGAAUUGCUCAGCAGGAUUGUGAUAAUUUUGGGGUUAAAAAAGUUCAUUCAGGAGGAGAGUAUGAACAAGAAAAUGUAAUCUUGCCAAAUAAAUUGGGCAUACUUGCAUUACAUGAUGAUGAGCAUGACAAAAAACCUCUUGGGUUUACCAGUUUUGGACCUUCAGUUACUGAUAAACAAACAGUAUUAUCAGAGGUUCAUGAUUUUAAAUCUUUUCAUCCAAGUUGUCACUCAUACAUAGCUGUACCCUUUGUAUCCAGGGAUAGUGCGUUGCAGGUUAGUACUCAUCGCUCUCCAGUGGAUACAAGAAAGAAAGAAUUACAAUGUCUCUAUAUGUCUGACAAGCAAAAUUCUGCAACUGCCAUGGGCCAUUGUGAAACUAAUAAUGAUAAAGAGUUAGACAAGGAAGGUGUGAUCUUUACAGAAGCCCUAACUUCUAAUCUUUACAAUUCCAAGCCUGAUUUAUCGUCAGGCAGUUUGUUGUCUAAGGAUGUAAAUUUGGUUGAUAAGAGGUUGGAGCAAAAUGAAGCAGCUGGCUUAUACAGUUUGACAGCUUCUCUUAUUGAGCAUGAGACUUUUUCAAGAGAUGAUUAUGAGUAUAAACGUUGCCACAAAGGCAGCAAGACAAUGGGACAGCUAUAUGAAAUUCCUAGUGCAAAUCCUGUGGGCAUGUAUGCGUCAGCAGACACCACUGUUCCACUGAAUAAGAAUUGUUGUUCCACUAAACACGGAGGGGGUUCUGGUUUCUCUGUACAUGACAGCUCCAUAUUUGACGGAAGACCUGGAAGCUUAAUUGGCAUGACCCUCAACAAGAAACCCCCCAUUGUGGACUGGGAAGAUGGAACAUCUGAAAAUACUUCAGCUCUAUCUUAUCACGCUUCUCUACUCAAUGAGGACAACAAACAUGGAAAUUCAGGGAAUGCAUUGGAGGAAUUUCUCCCAUUUUUUGAAGGGGAUUUUCAAGAGGAGAAAGUAGUUCAGAAUGAGCCCCUUCCUGAUGUUGACUCAAAUGUACGGCAAGAAUCUGUCUUGGGUGUCCCAACUCACUAUCAAAAUGAUGGCUCACUCUUGUAUCUUUUGACUCCUGUUUAUUUGCCACCUUCUGUAGAUUGUGUGUGUAGAUGGUUAGCGUGUGAUCAUGAAGGUACUUCAGGAGAGAUCAAUGUAUGGUCAACAAAGUCUUUGGCUAUUAAAGGUUCAAAAGGCUCUUCACCUGUUUAUGGUAAUAAUGUCCCCAUUGAAUUGGAUUCUGUAUCUCAUUUGAUGCCUGUACAAGAUCGAGUGCAACAAGAAAUGCAUCAAAAUGUUAAUUCAGAAUUUCACCCUAAUCAUGAUGAGAUUCAAAGACCACUGCACAAUGAAGGAAACAAUGCAAAACAGAAUGCUGGCAUGGGUUGCGCACUAGAUUUAUCUCAAAUUUCAGGCCCAAAUGGGAGAUCAAAGCCUACUCCCCUCAGUCAAAUUGGAUUUCGUGAUCCUGCUAGCAUUGGUGCUGGGCAGCAACUAACCUUAUUAAGUAUAGAGGUAACGGCAGAUGCAGGGUUUCACCACACAUCUUUUUGCUUUUAUUAUUUUCACAUUUCUAUUAACCUUUGGCCUUUGGGAGAUGAGCUUUUAGUUAACAACACAAGCCUUGAUGAAACUGCUACAGUAUUAUUAAAGGCGCUGGGCUAGGCGCGCCUCAGUUCCAAGAGGUGAGCGCCUCUCUUGCCAAGGUUCAAGCAGAAACUAGAGGAGAUCUCAGACCAGAUCCUCGGUUUGAUGCUGUCAAUGUUGUUGCUCUUGCCUUUCAGAAUGACAAUGAUUCUGCUGUUGAAGUUUUUGUUCUCUUGCAUAGUAAUGGGGAAUGUUACAAGAGGAGUUCUGAUGGAAUAUCUGUAAAUAAGGCGGUUUAUUUCUCUGAGGAGAAGCACUUGUUUGGCCAUUUUACAAGGAUUGUAGGUUUAUUUGAUCCAGAUAUUUUAAUGGGCUGGGAUAUUCAAGGUGGUUCUCUUGGGUUUUUGGCUGAGAGGGCUGCACAUCUUGGUAUUGGCUUACUUAAUAACAUUUCUCGCACACCAUUAGAAGCCAACAUAGGAAACAGAGAAACAGAAAGUGCUGAUAAUGGAGUACUGGAUACUGUGCUGCAUGAAUCUUUACUUGCAGAUUCUGGUUUGGUAGACCAAGCAGUAAUUGAGGAUGAAUGGGGUCGAACUCAUGCCAGUGGUGUCCAUGUUGGUGGUAGAGUUGUCCUUAACAUAUGGAGACUGAUGCGUGGUGAAGUUAAGCUGAACAUGUAUACAGUUGAAGCUGUUGGUGAAGCUGUUUUGAGGCGAAAAAUCCCAUUAAUUCCAUACAGAGCAUUGACAAAAUGGUUUUCGAGUGGUCCUGGACGAGCGAGGUAUAGAUGUAUCGAGUAUGUGAUACAGAGAGCGAAGUUGAACCUUGAAAUAAUGAAUCAACUUGAUAUGGUAAAUCGGACUUCAGAGCUUGCUCGUGUAUUUGGCAUUGACUUUUUUUCUGUUCUCUCACGAGGUUCUCAAUAUCGUGUUGAAUCUAUGUUUCUGAGACUAGCGCAUACACAGAACUAUCUUGCCAUUUCUCCUGGGAAUCAACAGGUUGCUUCUCAACCUGCAAUGGAGUGCUUACCUCUAGUGAUGGAGCCAGAAUCUGGCUUUUAUGGUGAUCCAGUUAUCGUCCUGGAUUUCCAGUCUCUUUAUCCAUCAAUGAUAAUUGCAUACAACCUUUGCUUUUGUACUUGUCUUGGAAAUGUUACACGUUCGAAGGAAAAUACACUAGGGGUUAGUUCAUUUUCACCAGAUCCACAUGUUCUGAGGGAUUUGAAAGAUAAAAUACUGCUUACUCCAAAUGGUGUUAU
RNAcentral lists this unclassified non-coding RNA (5036 nucleotides) under Hevea brasiliensis (rubber tree). Lineage: Eukaryota; Viridiplantae; Streptophyta; Magnoliopsida; Malpighiales; Euphorbiaceae. The record is from RNAcentral.